UUACUGAUGCUGGCGAUUCUCAUCACGGUGUCUGGACCACAAGGCACUCUGUUCUCCAGAUCUGCAUAACCAACCCCUGAGAGACGACAGACACAGCCAGAGGUGACUCUCUGAACUACUGUACUAACACAGGCCUCGAGAGUAGUGCAGACUACCCAAGAGAAUAGUGUGUGUGGUGAGAGACUUCCUACCUUCACACCAAACAUGACUGCCAUCCACUGAGACGCCGAUAACCAUCCCAGGAGCUCCAACUUCAUCCUGCUGAACAAUAUGCACGUUUCAAUCCAUUCCUGUUCAGGCCUCUAGUGUCCGUCUUCACUGAAAGAUCAAUCAUUCACUGGUGUCUUGGCACGUUGUUCUUGGGUCUUUAGAAACUUCUCUCAAUAGUUUUCUUUACUUCUUUAGAUUGGGUCUCUUCAAACUUCUUGAUAUUGCUUCUCAAGGCUCUUCUUGACACCUCUUCACAUAAACGUGUAUAUGCUUGUCCUUCUGUGUGAACAUUAACAAUUCUUCUUCUCAAGUCUAAACUAUUUUUUAUUGUCUUUGGCAUGAUGACAGUACAUAUAAUUUUACCAGUUGUUUUGAAAGAUACCAA
Molecule: long non-coding RNA, 595 nt
Organism: Carassius carassius (crucian carp)
Lineage: Eukaryota; Metazoa; Chordata; Actinopteri; Cypriniformes; Cyprinidae
Exons: 4
Source: RefSeq, a predicted model, not a curated record